Molecule: ribosomal RNA, 1654 nt
Filed under: human gut metagenome
Description: bacterial LSU rRNA
Rfam family: Bacterial large subunit ribosomal RNA
Source: RNAcentral
GAGAUAGCUGGUUCUCCCCGAAAUAGCUUUAGGGCUAGCCUCAGGGAAAAGAUUGCAGGCGGUAGAGCACUGAUCAGGAGAGGGACCUACCCGGUUACCAAACCCAGUCAAACUCCGAAUGGCUGCAAUCAUACCUGGGAGUCAGACUGCGACUAAUAAGGGCCGCAGUCAAAAGGGAAACAGCCCAGACCAUCAGCUAAGGUCCCCAAUGCCGUGCUAAGUGGCGAAGGAUGUGGCAUUUCAUAAACAACCAGGAUGUUGGCUCAGAAGCAGCCACCAUUUAAAGAGUGCGUAAUAGCUCACUGGUCGAGAGACGCUGCGCCGAAAAUGUCCGGGGCUCAAGCACGGAACCGAAGCUAUGGCAUGAUAGCAAUAUCAUGGGUAGGGGAGCGUUCUUAUAAGGAAGAAGCAUGACCGGAAGGACAUGUGGACGAAUAAGAAGUGAGAAUGCCGGUAUGAGUAUCGAAAAGAAAGGUGAGAAUCCUUUCCACCGAAAGCCCGAGGGUUCCUGAGCAACGAUCGUCGACUCAGGGUAAGUCGGGACCUAAGCCGAGGCGAGAAGCGUAGGCGAUGGACAACAGGUUGAAAUUCCUGUACCGGAUCAAGUCGAUCGAGCGAAGGAGCGACGCAGGAGGGCACAUGAUCGCGCGGCUGGAAGAGCGCGUCCAAGUGCGUAUGUUGCUGCAGAGGAAAACCCCUGUAGCUAAAAGCAGAGACAUGAUGGGGAGUUAAAGGAAACUUUGACGAACUCAUGGAUCCCACACUGCCAAGAAAAACUUCUAGCGAGACAAGAUCCGCCCGUACCGUAAACCGACACAGGUAGGCGGGGAGAGAAUCCUAAGGUGCGCGGGAAAACCCUCGUUAAGGAACUCGGCAAAUUGCAUCCGUAACCUAGGGAGAAGGAUGGCCCCCUGUCAGUGAAGAGCAGAAACGCUCAGAGCUAAAAGGGGCGGCAGAAAAGAGGCCCAAGCAACUGUUUACCAAAAACACAGGUGCCUGCGAAAGCGAAAGCUGAAGUAUAGGUGCUGACGCCUGCCCGGUGCCGGAAGGUUAAGGAGAGGUGUGAGCGAAAGCGAAGCAUCGAACUGAAGCCCCGGUGAACGGCGGCCGUAACUAUAACGGUCCUAAGGUAGCGAAAUUCCUUGUCGGGUAAGUUCCGACCCGCAUGAAAGGCGUAAUGAUUUGGGCACUGUCUCAACGAGGGGCCCGGUGAAAUUGAAAUACCUGUGAAGAUGCAGGUUACCCGCGACUGGACAGAAAGACCCCAUGGAGCUUCACUGCAGCUUGAGAUUGAAUCCCGGUGACAGAUGCACAGGAUAGGUGGGAGGCGCCGAAGCAUUGCCCUAGGGCGGUGCGGAGCCGAUGUUGGGAUACCACCCUUCUGUUGCUGAGAUUCUAACGCGAGGAGUAACGACCCUGCGGACCCUCUCAGGCAGGCGGUUUGACUGGGGCGGUCGCCUCCGAAAGAGUAACGGAGGCGCCCAAAGGUUCCCUCAGGCCGGACAGAAACCGGCCGAAGAGUGCAAAGGCAGAAGGGAGCUUGACUGCGAGACCAACAAGUCGAGCAGAGACGAAAGUCGGGCUUAGUGAUCCGGUGGUACUGAGUGGAAAGGCCAUCGCUCAACGGAUAAAAGCUACCCUGGGGAUAACAGGC